RNA transcript from Drosophila kikkawai, 3352 nucleotides. It is a transcript of the gene named Protein spinster, with no coding region annotated. The record is from RefSeq and is a predicted model, not a curated record. Lineage: Eukaryota; Metazoa; Arthropoda; Insecta; Diptera; Drosophilidae.
GGUUGCUAUAAAUACAAGUCGAUGCGAGCCAUUCGAAAAAAAAAAACUGUAAAUUCAACGGCACGUACUGCGAAAAGCGGAAAAUCGCGAAACACUGAAAUAAAGAGAAGCACCGCAACUGCAACUGCUAUUUGAGGCACAAUCGCGAUAAGGCAAUCUAGUUGAAAGUGGAGAUUGGCAGUGGAGAUUCGCGAAAAUAGAGAACUGUGGCCAACAACACACAUUCUUUUGCAGUCGUCGCUUUCAUCGCGUGUUCCGCUGUGGGCUGUGAGCUCUCUGUGUGUGUGUGUGUGCGCCAAGUGUGUGUUUGUGAAAGAGACACAGAGAGAGAGAGAGUGGCAAAGGGAGUGUGCAAAUAACUUUUGCCGCGUUGCCAUUAUUGAGAUCUUCGGCGAAUUUUGAACCAAAGAAGAGGGUGCGAGAGAAGAGGAUCGUCGGGUGAAUGUCGCUGAAACACCAGAAACCCUCCUACCAACCGCUCCCCACAGCGGCAGCCAUGGAUAAUCCUGCGAUGGUCGAGAGCAGCAGCAGCGGCAGCAGCAACGGCAGCAGUCGGGAGGAUGUGGCCAACCAGGCCAAUCUGUCACCCAUUGGAUUGCCUCAGACAUACUCGUCACAGCAGCUUAUGCCCUCAGAUUCGGACAGUAUGGAAGAGGAGCGGCAGCGCCUGCGACCCAACCAGUACGGUGGUGACCCCAACAUACCGGGACUCCAAUCAGCCGUUCCCACGCGCUUCGCCGCCGUUGGGCGGUCACAGUGGUUCACGGUCACGGUGCUCUGCUUUGUCAACCUCAUCAACUACAUGGAUCGCUUCACGAUCGCCGGAGUCCUGCCAGACGUAUCUAAAGAUUUCAAUAUCGGAAAUGACAGUGCCGGCCUCUUGCAAACCGUGUUCGUUAUCUCGUACAUGGUGUGCGCCCCGAUCUUUGGAUAUUUGGGUGACCGCUAUUCCCGCCCCUGGAUUAUGGCUGUCGGGGUGGGGCUAUGGAGCACCACCACGCUGUUGGGAUCAUACAUGCAGCACUUUGGUUGGUUCAUCACCUUCCGGGCACUGGUGGGAAUCGGCGAGGCCUCGUACAGUACGAUCGCGCCGACGAUCAUCUCGGAUCUGUUCAUCCACGACAUGCGCUCCAGGAUGCUAGCCCUCUUCUAUUUUGCCAUUCCCGUGGGAUCCGGUCUGGGAUAUAUCGUGGGAUCGAAAACCGCUCACCUGGCCAACAACUGGCGCUGGGCACUGAGGGUCACACCCAUCUUGGGCGUUGUGGCCGUAUUGCUAAUUAUGCUUAUCAAGGAUCCGGAGCGGGGUCAAAGCGAAGGAUCGCACCAUCUGGAGGCCACUACCUACAAGCAGGAUAUUAAGGCUCUGCUCAAGAACCGCUCCUUCAUGCUCUCCACGGGAGGAUUCACGUGCGUUGCGUUUGUGGCCGGAGCAUUGGCCUGGUGGGGACCUUCAUUCAUCUAUCUAGGCCUCAAGAUGCAGCCCGGCAACGAGAACCUCGUUCAGGACGACAUAUCGUACAAGUUCGGUAUUGUGGCCAUGUUGGCGGGCCUUAUCGGAGUGCCGAUGGGUUCCAUCUUGGCUCAGCGCCUGCGAGGACACUACGAGAACUGUGAUCCGUACAUCUGUGCGGGAGGACUCUUCGUAUCGGCACCCAUGGUGUUUGCUGCUCUCAUGGUGCCCCAGUCGAGCCCGGAGAUGCUGUGCUUUUUCUUCGUCUUCGUGGCCCAGGUGGCGCUCAACCUGUGCUGGUCCAUUGUGGCCGAUAUCCUGCUGUAUGUGGUAGUUCCGACGCGUCGCUCCACAGCUGAAGCCUUUCAGAUUCUUAUCUCGCAUGCGCUUGGCGAUGCCGGCAGUCCUUAUUUGGUAGGAGCGAUAUCAGAGGCCAUUAUGAAGCAUCUGCAUAAGAAUCCCAGCGAUUCCGGACUGAUGGAAAUGCAGAGUAUGUCCCAAGUGGCGGAGAAUGCCACGGCUGUGAUCAGUACAACCGCUACCGGUAUCAUCGAUUCCAUGAAAGCUGCAGCCGAUUACACGGAUGCUGAGAAAUUUGAGGGACUGCAGUAUGCCUUGUUCUCCACCAGUUUCGUGGAGGUCUUGGGAGGCAUUUUCUUCAUGAUCACGGCCUGCUUCAUCAUCAAGGACAAGUUCGAAGCCUCGCGAGGAUCUCAAGGCAACCAGGAAGCACAAAUGCGAUCGUCAAGUGCCCCGGGCAGCGGGGGGCAGAAAGACGUAGAGUCCUUCAACUCGGACUGCCUGGUCAUGUGCACUGACAUUGCUCUGGGCGAUCGCUCGUACACACGAAUCUGAAAAACAGAUAACUUAAAACUGAAAACUGAAUAUCCUUUUGGCACCCAGUUCCCGAGGCAUCCACGGCUCAACAGCAGCAGCGGGCAAUUGCAUAAUACCAGCCGAUCCUAGAAGUUAUGCUGCGCACUCAGAGCUAUGACGGCGCGCUGGGUGAACUGAUACUGACUGAAAACCAUCUUUAAUUUUAAUAACCGCUCACUCGCACUCACCGCACAUACCGCGCUCACAUCGGCUAGAAGAUAAUUAACCCUCGUUCAUGUUCCUAUUGGGAAGAAUCGGAAGGACAGCCGCCACCAGCACCACACAGAUUUGUAGAUAUACUACACCCACUCACAAGCACGCACCAAGUCAUAACAUUAAAGAGAUCAUUUACCUUUUACUUGUAAACGGAUUGGGGCUGGUGGCCAGGACGAACGCCCGGACACCAGCACUAGCUCGUAAUUAGCUUUAGUUCUGGUAUUUUAGGUUUCAUUAGAAAUUAGGCAGAGUGCUCCCUCAGAUCCGGUAAUGUAAAUAGAUAUUAUUUCAGGCAUCGAGGGCGAAAACUGCCUGACAUUGGUGUAAUUAUAUUUAUAUAUGUAUAAAUACAUAUGAAUUUUAAAUAUGAAUUGUAAAUAUAGAUAAGCACCGGCCAUUGUAUAAGUGCGUAGUCUGUAUAAUCAAUCUAGUAGCUUUUACUAUAUGUAUAAGUGCGUAGUCUGUAUAAUCAAUCCCGUAGUUUUUACUAUACGUAACUGUAAUCCUAUUCUUAGUUAGUUAGUCGAGUAACAAAUUGGAUGAAACCGUGUGUGUGCACCCUCAGCUAUUACUGAAUAUUACUAUUAUCUUUAAACAAAUCUGCAAAACAGCAUUAAUCAAUCCUAGAGUUUGUGUUUUUUCUGUUAAUCCCAAUCGAAUGCUAUCGAAAAAAAGAAGAAAGACUGCAAACAAUCAAAAAUUUGGUAAAUUAACAAUUAACCAAGCGAAAAUAACGAUGUGUUUAGCAAUUAACUAAUUCUGGGGCAAUAAAUUUAUACAUGCAAAGUAAACAAUUAUAUGAAAGUCGAA